GAUGCAAUAAAGCGUGCUGAACUGCGAGCUUAUUUUACUACCAAAUCAACAUGUUUAUAUAUACCAAAUAUGCUGUUCUCUUCUCUUUAGUCACAGAAGCUGUUCUGGGAGUGACACUGGAGCAAAAAGAUCUCUCAAUGACAAAAGAGAAGGGCAAAAGUGUGUUUAUCAGCUGCAAAGUGACCGGAUUAUCCAGCACUUAUGUUCACUGGUACCAAAAGAAAGAAGGUGAAGGUCUCACAAGGAUCCUGUAUGCCAACAGUGAAAGCAAACCUGUUCCUGAUAAAAACCAUCCUGAAGCAAAGGACUUCGAUGUGAGGAUACAGUCUGAUAAUUAUGAUCUGAAGAUAGCAGAACUGAAGGAAAGCCACACAGCAGUUUAUUACUGUGCCAGCUGGCAAAGCUCCCACAGUGACAGUAAAUAUGUACAGUGUGUACAAAAACCCUGA
Molecule: non-coding RNA, 449 nt
Organism: Neoarius graeffei (lesser salmon catfish)
Lineage: Eukaryota; Metazoa; Chordata; Actinopteri; Siluriformes; Ariidae
Source: the annotation of a RefSeq genome assembly